RNAcentral lists this non-coding RNA (21 nucleotides) under Caenorhabditis elegans. Lineage: Eukaryota; Metazoa; Nematoda; Chromadorea; Rhabditida; Rhabditidae. The record is from RNAcentral.
UUAUUUCGACAGUUCGCGAUA